CGGAAGGUAGGCCAGUGGUUAAGCCGCCAGUUUUGGGAACUGGACAGCGGGGGUUCAAAUCCCCCCCUUCCGA
Molecule: transfer RNA, 73 nt
Filed under: Spirochaetaceae bacterium
Lineage: Bacteria; Pseudomonadati; Spirochaetota; Spirochaetia; Spirochaetales; Spirochaetaceae
Description: tRNA-Pro
Rfam family: tRNA
About the family: Transfer RNA (tRNA) molecules are approximately 80 nucleotides in length. Their secondary structure includes four short double-helical elements and three loops (D, anti-codon, and T loops).
Source: RNAcentral